UGGCUCAGUGGUUAAGAGCAUUGGCUGCUCUUCCCUCUUCCAGAGGACCUGGGUUCAAUUCCCAG
RNAcentral lists this transfer RNA (65 nucleotides) under Neotoma lepida (desert woodrat). The record is from Rfam by way of RNAcentral. Lineage: Eukaryota; Metazoa; Chordata; Mammalia; Rodentia; Cricetidae.